Molecule: ribosomal RNA, 371 nt
Filed under: uncultured bacterium
Lineage: Bacteria
Description: bacterial SSU rRNA
Rfam family: Bacterial small subunit ribosomal RNA
Source: RNAcentral
ACGGAGAGUGCAAACGUUGUUCGGAAUUAUUGGGCGUAAAGGGCGCGUAGGCGGCUCGGUAAGUCAGAUGUGAAAGCCCGGGGCUCAACCCUGGAAGUGCGUUUGAAACUGCUGAGCUUGAGUGCAGGAGGGAGAGGUGGAAUUCCAGGUGUAGGAGUGAAAUCCGUAGAUAUCUGGAGGAACACCGGUGGCGAAGGCGACCUCUUGGCCUGAAACUGACGCUGAGGCGCGAAGGCGUGGGGAGCAAACAGGAUUAGAUACCCUGGUAGUCCACGCGGUAAACGAUGCUCACUGGGUGCUGGUGGCAGACGCUGUCAGUGCCGUAGCUAACGCGAUAAGUGAGCCGCCUGGGGAGUACGGUCGCAAGAUUA